GGCACCUUCGGUGUCCGAGUUGUAAUUUGAAGAAGGUAACUUUGGAGUUGGCUCUUGUCUAUGUUCCUUGGAACAGGACGUCACAGAGGGUGAGAAUCCCGUGCGAUGAGAUGUCCAACUCUAUGUAAAGUGCUUUCGAAGAGUCGAGUUGUUUGGGAAUGCAGCUCUAAGUGGGUGGUAAAUUCCAUCUAAAGCUAAAUAUUGGCGAGAGACCGAUAGCGAACAAGUACAGUGAUGGAAAGAUGAAAAGAACUUUGAAAAGAGAGUGAAAAAGUACGUGAAAUUGUUGAAAGGGAAGGGUGUGAGAUCAGACUUGGUAUUUUGUAUGUCUUGCUUUCGGGUGGGGCCUCUGC
RNAcentral lists this ribosomal RNA (353 nucleotides) under Scheffersomyces shehatae. RNAcentral describes it as "eukaryotic LSU rRNA". It matches the Rfam family "Eukaryotic large subunit ribosomal RNA", at positions 124 to 474 of the family's 3401-position model. Lineage: Eukaryota; Fungi; Ascomycota; Pichiomycetes; Serinales; Debaryomycetaceae. The record is from RNAcentral.